CAAUAAUCACAAGCAUAGCAGGCAUUGAUGCCAUAGCUCUUAAUUGUCUUAGGAAUUAAGACAGGCGGCAUCAGUACCUGCUAAGCUUGUUGAUGAAAAGAAUUGUUAAAAAGAGUUUAUCAGGGCUGGGCGCAGUGGCUCACGCCUGUAAUCCCAGCACUUUGGGAGGCCAAGGUGGGUGGACCACAAGGUCAGGAGAUCGAGACCAUCCUGGCUAAUACGGUGAAACGCCGUCUCU
This 238-nucleotide long non-coding RNA is filed under the name Homo sapiens (human). RNAcentral's name for it is "HSALNT0351508". The record is from RNAcentral. Lineage: Eukaryota; Metazoa; Chordata; Mammalia; Primates; Hominidae.